AUUUUAUCGACAAAUAGAGCAUCUCUAUUAGGGAUGUGCUGGAUAAACAAAGCAUGUUUCAACACGUCUCUGGCAGGAAAUCAGGGCAAAAGGGUGACAAACGUGAGGACAAACGAGGGCUUAAAACUGACGGAGGAAGAACGGCUCCCAAAAGGAAGUGGAAAGGGUGAAACCGACAAAGACACAUGCGCAUGCGAAAACAAUUGAAGCGUGCAAACAGCAGAAAAAAAAAUAAA
Molecule: long non-coding RNA, 236 nt
Organism: Drosophila ananassae
Lineage: Eukaryota; Metazoa; Arthropoda; Insecta; Diptera; Drosophilidae
Exons: 2
Source: RefSeq, a predicted model, not a curated record